This 408-nucleotide ribosomal RNA is filed under the name uncultured bacterium. RNAcentral describes it as "bacterial SSU rRNA". It matches the Rfam family "Bacterial small subunit ribosomal RNA", at positions 355 to 775 of the family's 1533-position model. The record is from RNAcentral.
UGGGGAAUAUUGCACAAUGGGCGGAAGCCUGAUGCAGCAACGCCGCGUGAGGGAUGACGGCCUUCGGGUUGUAAACCUCUUUCAGCACCGACGAAGCGGGAGUGACGGUAGGUGCAGAAGAAGCGCCGGCCAACUACGUGCCAGCAGCCGCGGUAACACGUAGGGCGCGAGCGUUGUCCGGAAUUAUUGGGCGUAAAGGGCUCGUAGGCGGUUUGUUGCGUCGAGAGUGAAAUCCCAUGGCUUAACUGUGGGUUUGCUUUCGAUACGGGCAGGCUAGAGGUAGGCAGGGGAGAAUGGAAUCUCUGGUGUAGCGGUGGAAUGCGCAGAUAUCAGAGGGAACACCGGUGGCGAAGGCGGUUCUCUGGGCCUUACCUGACGCUGAGGAGCGAAAGCGUGGGGAGCGAACAG